GGAGGUUGCAAGCGUUGUUCGGAUUUACUGGGCGUAAAGGGAGCGCAGGCGGCUAGGGUCAGUCUGAAGUGAAAGCCCGGGGGCUCAACCUCGGAAGGGCUUCGGAUACUGCCUAGCUUGAGUACGUGAGAGGUGAGCGGAAUUCCAGGUGAAGCGGUGAAAUGCGUAGAUAUCUGGAGGAACAUCGGUGGCGAAAGCGGCUCACUGGCACGAAACUGACGCUGAGGCUCGAAAGCGUGGGGAGCGAACGGGAUUAGAUACCCCGGUAGUCCACGCCGUAAACGUUGUGCACUAGGUGUGGGAGGUAUCGACCCCUCCCGUGCCGGCGCUAACGCAUUAAGUGCACCGCCUGGGGAGUACGGUCGCAAAGACUG
RNAcentral lists this ribosomal RNA (374 nucleotides) under uncultured organism. RNAcentral describes it as "partial 16S ribosomal RNA". It matches the Rfam family "Bacterial small subunit ribosomal RNA", at positions 527 to 896 of the family's 1533-position model. The record is from RNAcentral.